Molecule: long non-coding RNA, 1305 nt
Organism: Ficedula albicollis (Collared flycatcher)
Lineage: Eukaryota; Metazoa; Chordata; Aves; Passeriformes; Muscicapidae
Exons: 2
Source: RefSeq, a predicted model, not a curated record
AAAAUUAAGAUGAAAAUAAAGAAGACUAAGGAAGAUAUAGAGAGAGACCGGAACCGUGCACAGCUCCUGGAAUUUCUGAACUCUGCCUUGUAACAGGAAGAGUGCUCACCAAGGACUGGUAGAUGCACCAAGCCAGCAUCAUCCUAGCAGAACACUAAAGGGAACCUCAGGGAAAAGGACACCGAGUUGGACAAGACCAGACCCUCCUACUGAGAAGAAAAUUGGGAUGUCCUUUUUAAAUGGCAAAACAAAGAGUAGCUAAUAACUUGUAAUGGAGAGCCGUGUCCUCCUUUUGAGAUCCUAAGGUAAUAGCCAGGCUGUGGUGUUUUAGAAAAGCCCAUGUGUGUGUUGUUCACAAUGAUAAGAAAUGACACACUGAAGUCCAGCAAUGUAGUUUCUAUGCUAACAGCAUGCAGAAUGCACUCUUGAUUUCAAGUGUCUUAAUUUUUCUAGUAGUUUAAGCAGAGUAUUUGUAAAUGUGUAUUUGAAAGAUGUUUCUUUUAUGUAUAUUUUUUUCUGGUAGUGGUUAUGCUUAUCAUAAAGAGCAAAUUGACCUUUGUAAAUAGAACAUCCUUUUACAUAAAUGAUUUUUUUUUUAAGUUCAUUCACUAGUAUGUUAUUUUCUUUCAGAAUUUGAGAUCUGGUGUUUCUCUGGACAGUUUAUUGCUCUCUCUCUUUAGAAAGUGUAACAUCAAAAUACUCUAGAGCAAUAAUGAUAACAAAUAUUUUUUUAUCCUUAAAUAGAAGCAGGAAAUGUCUCUGGUUUUGUUUGUUUGUCUGAAUCAGUUGUUCAGCUCAUAAUGAUAGUUUACCCCCCAGAUCUGGAGUUGCAGUUCCUAGAUUAAAAGCUCUGGAGUUGUGGCCUGCUUUUCCAAUCCUGUGAGCCGUGUAUCCAGUAUUUCUCUCUCUGAAAUGCAGCAAGACCUGUACCAUGGGCAUAGCUGAGUCUGAGCUGUGGAGUGGUGUUGGGGCAGGCAGUGACAGCCACUUCACAGGUCUGUUGACAGUGCACUGUGAGAUGAGGCAGGUUUGGGCAGGCACAGCUUGUGGGUGUGCCAUCUGUGGUAAUUUGCUCAGUGCCUGCACUCUUCCUUACACACCUUGACUCCUGGUUACCCAGCAGGCCCCUCUGUACAAAACCCUGCUGUGGGAGUUCCACUUGGACUGCUGGUGAAGCAGGUGCUGCUCGGAGCUACAGCUUAGGAAUGCCUGAAGGAAGGACUCAAGGGGAGUUGACUUUGACAAGAACAUCAAGUGUAUAGCAGUCAGAGUGGGGGAGAUCAUUAAAGAGCAAAUGGAAAACUC